RNAcentral lists this ribosomal RNA (207 nucleotides) under uncultured bacterium. Its description in RNAcentral is "partial 16S ribosomal RNA". It matches the Rfam family "Bacterial small subunit ribosomal RNA", at positions 568 to 774 of the family's 1533-position model. The record is from RNAcentral.
GGCGUAGGUGGCCUGCCAAGUCGGAUGUGAAAUCUCCCGGCUUAACUGGGAGGGUGCGUUCGAUACUGGCAAGCUAGAGUGCAGUAGAGGAAAGCGGAAUUCCCGGUGUAGUGGUGAAAUGCGUAGAUAUCGGGAAGAAUACUAGUGGCGAAGGCGGCUUUCUGGGCUGUAACUGACGCUGAGGUCCGAAGGCGUGGGGAGCGAACA